This 218-nucleotide ribosomal RNA is filed under the name uncultured marine eukaryote. RNAcentral describes it as "partial 18S ribosomal RNA". The stretch from base 71 to 218 matches the Rfam family "Eukaryotic small subunit ribosomal RNA", at positions 737 to 888 of the family's 1831-position model. The record is from RNAcentral.
UACCCCUGGUGGGUGUGCUCGGGCCCGGCCAUCCUUCUGUCAACUUUCGCGCGUCCUUCACCGGUCGGCAAAGGGAUCAGAUAAUUUACCUUGAAGAAAAUUAGAAGUGUUUCAGGCAGGCUUAGCCGGAAUACAUUAGCAUGGAAUAAUGGAAUAGGACUGAGGUCUCGUUGUUGGUUACGUGGACUACAGUAAUGAUUAAUAGGGACAGUUGGGGG